CCCCCGAUGGUCUAGUUGGAUAUGGCGUUCGGCUGUAAUGUAAACAUAUAACCGAAAGGUCGCCGGCUCGAUUCCGGCUCGGGGGA
Penicilliopsis zonata CBS 506.65 is the source of this 86-nucleotide non-coding RNA. The record is from the annotation of a RefSeq genome assembly. Lineage: Eukaryota; Fungi; Ascomycota; Eurotiomycetes; Eurotiales; Aspergillaceae.